This 537-nucleotide ribosomal RNA is filed under the name Actinomyces sp. oral clone 3RH-29. RNAcentral's name for it is "bacterial SSU rRNA". It matches the Rfam family "Bacterial small subunit ribosomal RNA", at positions 8 to 521 of the family's 1533-position model. Lineage: Bacteria; Bacillati; Actinomycetota; Actinomycetes; Actinomycetales; Actinomycetaceae. The record is from RNAcentral.
AGAGUUUGAUCAUGGCUCAGGACGAACGCUGGCGGCGUGCUUAACACAUGCAAGUCGAACGGGCCUGUCCUGGUUUUUGCUGGGGUGGGUUAGUGGCGAACGGGUGAGUAACACGUGAGUAACCUGCCCCUCACUUCUGGAUAACCGCUUGAAAGGGUGGCUAAUACGGGGUGUUCUGGCUGUGCCGCAUGGUGUGGUUGGGAAAGAUUCACUAUUUGUUUGGUGUUUUGGUGGGGGAUGGGCUCGCGGCCUAUCAGCUUGUUGGUGGGGUGAUGGCCUGCCAAGGCUUUGACGGGCAGCCGGCCUGAGAGGGUGGGCGGUCACACUGGGACUGAGACACGGCCCAGACUCCUGCGGGAGGCAGCAGUGGGGGAUAUUGCACAAUGGGCGGAAGCCUGAUGCAGCGACGUCGCGUGAGGGAUGGAGGCCUUCGGGUUGUGAACCUCUUUCGCCGGUGAAGAAGGUCCUGCUUUUUGGGUGGGGUUGACGGUAGCCGGGUUAUGAAGCGCCGGCUAACUACGUGCCAGCAGCCGCGGU